AGGGGCCGCGGCAACAACAGCAGCUUAUUCGGGUCGUUGCAAGAAAAGAAAACAAGACAGUAAGCGGAAAGCGGGGUGCAGCUGGAUAGAAGGUUUUUCAAAUCCAGCCCAGUGAAUACUGCUAAUUCCUCAACUUUGGUUGCAGAUCCGUUCCUAAAUUCUGGAGGACUUGGAACCUGUUCAAUGGAAAGGGGGUGAAGGUGUUUGCCACCCUGAGAUGCGUCCCUCUGGGAUGUGGAUGUAGGAUGUUAGAACAACAAGUCGAGGAGGUAAAACCUUGGUCAUUAACACAUGUGAUUACGUGACACAUCUCUUGUAUGCAUGUUAAACAAAACAAAGAACAAAAACUUGUCAUUAUCCAAGAAGGAGAAAUUCUGGGAAGCCUUGAAUUUGACCUGGCCAUG
This is a long non-coding RNA of Lacerta agilis (Sand lizard), 404 nucleotides long. RefSeq lists it as uncharacterized. The record is from RefSeq and is a predicted model, not a curated record. Lineage: Eukaryota; Metazoa; Chordata; Lepidosauria; Squamata; Lacertidae. The transcript is spliced from 3 exons.